This 255-nucleotide ribosomal RNA is filed under the name uncultured bacterium. RNAcentral describes it as "partial 16S ribosomal RNA". It matches the Rfam family "Bacterial small subunit ribosomal RNA", at positions 524 to 776 of the family's 1533-position model. The record is from RNAcentral.
UACGUAGGUGGCAAGCGUUGUCCGGAUUUAUUGGGUUUAAAGGGUGCGUAGGCGGCUUAAUAAGUCAGUGGUGAAAGCCGAUCGCUUAACGAAUCGAACUGCCCAUUGAUACUGCUAGGCUUGAGUAUAGAUGAGGUAGGCGGAAUUGACAGUGUAGCGGUGAAAUGCAUAGAUAUUGUCAAGAACACCAAUUGCGAAGGCAGCUUACUAAGUUAUAACUGACGCUGAGGCACGAAAGUGCGGGGAUCAAACAGG